GGGUGUGUAGCUCAGCUGGUUAGAGCACUUCACUGAUAAUGAAGAGGUCCGUGGUUCGAGUCCACGCACACCCACCA
RNAcentral lists this transfer RNA (77 nucleotides) under Patescibacteria group bacterium. Its description in RNAcentral is "tRNA-Ile". It matches the Rfam family "tRNA". From Rfam's summary of the family: Transfer RNA (tRNA) molecules are approximately 80 nucleotides in length. RNAcentral also lists the same sequence under 1 other name. The record is from RNAcentral.